This 22-nucleotide small nuclear RNA is filed under the name Arabidopsis thaliana (thale cress). Its description in RNAcentral is "snRNA_02931". Lineage: Eukaryota; Viridiplantae; Streptophyta; Magnoliopsida; Brassicales; Brassicaceae. The record is from RNAcentral.
AGUGACCAAAAUCGCACCCAAA